AGAAGUCAGCAAAUAAAGGAAGACAAAAAAAAAAAAGUUGUGGCGAUUGUAAAUCGGAUGCCCAUAGUGAUAGGAGCCCUAGGCUGGAGAUGUUGUGCUGUCCAGCAGAUCCAUGCAUGCUGUGCCAUACCGUGGGCUUGAACUUGCACUUAAAAUGCACUGCUGUACACAAAUGCUGAAUAUUAUUCCUUCUUUGGAAUGGAUGAAAUUCAGAAGUGAAUCCUUUGGACGUGGCACAAGGGUCUACUCAUGAGCAUAACGUGGGGCUUGCAGGAUGUCACCAUGUCCUCCUGACAGUUACCUCUGCUACUGACUGUGAUCAGAUACCAUAUCAGUCUGGUAGUUCAUGCUCUUCAGUCCUCAAGGGAAGAGUAUGAGGUCCACAACCAGCCUCCACAGAAGAUGAGAUACCAUUAAAUGGUGAGUGGGCUGACAGUUGCAUCUUCCUGUGUCAGCUGGGUGCUAAAAGGCUGAUAGGUUUGUGAAGCUGUUGGAUGGUGGAUUGUGGACUCCCCUUUCGGCCUGCAAAGAGGUAAGGGUCUGUCAGCACUGGACACUGUUUGGUUCCUAAGGAGUCCAUUUGGCAGUGACCACUGCAGAGAGCACAAGCAACAAGGAGAAAUGGAUCCGCUUCAGAUCAAGCCCUACCUGGGCUGAAUAGGACUGUUCAAGGCUGAGCAGUGAGAGCAAAAAUCUAAAGGAACAAGGCGCAAAAAUCACUGAGCUAUCCCUGUCCAUGGAGGAGUGUCAGCACAGCAUUGUGCCCAAGCCAAGCAGCUCUGCUGGGAGGCCGCUUCCUGAGCACUGGCUUCACGCAGCCCAAGGCCUGGCCAGGCCCUGCCUGGACACAGCCCUUCUUUCCCAGGGGCUGCGGAGCUCUCCAAAAUAGCAUUGCAUGUACAAACAUGUCCUGAGGAAGCCUGUGG
This is a long non-coding RNA of Cygnus olor (mute swan), 926 nucleotides long. RefSeq lists it as uncharacterized. The record is from RefSeq and is a predicted model, not a curated record. The transcript has 3 exons. Lineage: Eukaryota; Metazoa; Chordata; Aves; Anseriformes; Anatidae.